This 281-nucleotide long non-coding RNA is filed under the name Elaeis guineensis (African oil palm). RNAcentral describes it as "long non-coding RNA (EGUI_LNC082686)". Lineage: Eukaryota; Viridiplantae; Streptophyta; Magnoliopsida; Arecales; Arecaceae. The record is from RNAcentral.
CAAUGACACCUAGCGGUAUGUAGUGGCAAUCUAAUAAAACUAAAAUGAACCUCUAGGUAUAGUUAACGUGUGAUUCAGUCCCUCUAUCAUGAGUCCUGACUAGAUGGUAGGUCAUAGAUAAAUCAUCAAACCUCAUCAUUAGUCAUAUGAUAGAUUCAAUUAGCUCAAGUCCAAUUGUCACUUCUAUGAAAACUUCUUUUCAUCAAUCACACUGCUGUGACCACAGACUCUUGGACUUAAUCUCUUAAAUCUCAUAGAACUACUCUUCUCUAUCAAGGUCA